Acanthochromis polyacanthus (spiny chromis) is the source of this 547-nucleotide long non-coding RNA. RefSeq lists it as uncharacterized. The record is from RefSeq and is a predicted model, not a curated record. The transcript is spliced from 3 exons. Lineage: Eukaryota; Metazoa; Chordata; Actinopteri; Pomacentridae.
AGGGGACGGAGCGCUCCGAGGUGAUGCUCAUGUAGCGGUGGACGAUGGAGAAGGGCAGAUCUCGACAGGCUGGCUUGUUGACGGGACACACACAGCGGCUGGACGCACACAAAGAGACAGACAGAGAUCGGUUGUUUCCUGCCAGCUGGAAUCCAGGUUCACACUGACAGGAGAAGGAACCAGGGACGUUGACACAGCGAUGCUGGCAGUACCUGUACCUGCACUCAUCGAUGUCUGACGGGCAGAAGGAGAGUCAGAGGAAGGAGAUUCAUGUUCCUACAGUCAGAGCCAAGAAGCAAACUACACAGCCACGUUAUCUUGGCUCUUCUAAGAAGCCAAGUGCAGCUGGGAGAGCGGAGCAGUGAGCAGUGAGCGGGGCAGCUGUGACGUGUAUGGCCUGUAGCAGAAAAGUGGGUAAGAAGUACAUCUCACCUCGCUAAAACGCUCGCAGACAUGACAAGCCAUCCGGCAGUUCUCUGCUUGACACAGAUCCCUUCUUACAUGUGUGUAAGGCGUUAAGGAAAGGCAGGGAAAAACUCACGGCUGG